Molecule: ribosomal RNA, 771 nt
Filed under: uncultured bacterium
Lineage: Bacteria
Description: bacterial SSU rRNA
Rfam family: Bacterial small subunit ribosomal RNA
Source: RNAcentral
AGGUAAUCUACCUCUGGGCGGGGAAUAACUUGCCGAAAGGCGAGCUAAUACUGCAUAAUGCAGCGGCACAUAAUGGUGAAUAGUUGUUAAAGCGGGGGAUGUUCGGACCUCGCUCUAGGAGAGGAGCCUGCGGCAGAUGAGCUAGUUGGUGAUGUAAUGGCUUACCAAGGGUUAGAUUUGUAGGUGGUUUGAGAGGAGGGCCAGCCACAUUGGCACUGACACUCGUGCCAGACUCAUAUGGGAGGCAGCAGUGGGGAAUUUUGGGCAAUUGGCGCAAGCCUGUACCAGCAACGCCGCGUGAGGGAGGAAAUCCUUCGGGAUGUAAACCUCUCAAGCAAGGGAAGAGCGCAAUUGAGCUAAUACCUGGUUUGUCUGUCGGUACCAUGUGUAAGCCACGGGACAUUACUUACCAGCAGCCGCGGUAAUAGUUAGGUGGCCAGCCUUUUUCCGAAUUUUUGGGCGUAAAGGUCGCGUAGGAGUCUUGUUAAGUUGUCUGUUAAAGCCCGGGGGUUAAUCCUGUAGGGUCAGCUGAUACUGUUUAGCUAGAGUACAGAAGAGGUAGCUGGAAUUCCCGGUGUAGCGGUGAAAUUCGUUGAUAUAGGGAGGAACACCAGAGGCGAUGGCGGGCUACUGGGUUGAUAGAGAUGGUGAUGCUCGAAAGCCAGGGGAGCAAACUGGAUUAGAUAUCCCGGUAGUCCUGGCCGUAAAUGAUGGACACUUGGUGUGUUGGGUCUUCAAGUCCCGGCGUGCAGGAGAUAACUCGUUAAGUGU